CUGUAGCCAAUUAAGCUGACCAGGUUCCUUUCCUCAUGGUGGCCUGAUGUGCAAUGUCUUGGGAGUGUAGUAACCUGUUGCUUGUACAAGUUGCCCUAAGGGAUCUUGGUGGCAGUU
Molecule: small nucleolar RNA, 117 nt
Filed under: Jaculus jaculus (lesser Egyptian jerboa)
Lineage: Eukaryota; Metazoa; Chordata; Mammalia; Rodentia; Dipodidae
Description: Small nucleolar RNA SNORA70 (ENSJJAG00000007849.1)
Rfam family: Small nucleolar RNA SNORA70
About the family: snoRNA U70 seems to be exclusive to mammals and is a member of the H/ACA class of snoRNA which contain H (ANANNA) and ACA box motifs. H/ACA box snoRNAs are involved in the conversion of uridines to pseudouridines (5-ribosyluracil) a constituent of structural RNAs (transfer, ribosomal, small nuclear, and small nucleolar).
Source: Rfam by way of RNAcentral